GAGAGCCGGAUGCGCUGAAAGGUGCACGUCCGGUUCGGAGGGGGGCCGAGCAAUGUUCUCUCUGAGACUUUGCCGGCCUACCCUAC
Non-coding RNA from Sphingomonas sp., 86 nucleotides. NCBI's taxonomy places the organism in Bacteria, Pseudomonadati, Pseudomonadota, Alphaproteobacteria, Sphingomonadales, Sphingomonadaceae. The record is from Rfam.